UCUUAUGGAGAGUUUGAUCCUGGCUCAGGACGAACGCUGGCGGCAUGCCUAAUACAUGCAAGUCGAGCGAACAGUUAGAAGCUUGCUUCUAACUGUUAGCGGCGGACG
RNAcentral lists this ribosomal RNA (108 nucleotides) under Sporosarcina sp. P13. Its description in RNAcentral is "partial 16S ribosomal RNA". It matches the Rfam family "Bacterial small subunit ribosomal RNA", at positions 1 to 104 of the family's 1533-position model. The record is from RNAcentral. Lineage: Bacteria; Bacillati; Bacillota; Bacilli; Caryophanales; Caryophanaceae.